GGUGAACGCUGGCGGUAGGCCUAACACAUGCAAGUCGAACGGCAGCACAGUAAGAGCUUGCUCUUACGGGUGGCGAGUGGCGGACGGGUGAGGAAUACAUCGGAAUCUACUUUUUCGUGGGGGAUAACGUAGGGAAACUUACGCUAAUACCGCAUACGACCUACGGGUGAAAGCAGGGGAUCUUCGGACCUUGCGCGAUUGAAUGAGCCGAUGUCGGAUUAGCUAGUUGGCGGGGUAAAGGCCCACCAAGGCGACGAUCCGUAGCUGGUCUGAGAGGAUGAUCAGCCACACUGGAACUGAGACACGGUCCAGACUCCUACGGGAGGCAGAAGUGGGGAAUAUUGGACAAUGGGCGCAAGCCUGAUCCAGCCAUACCGCGUGGGUGAAGAAGGCCUUCGGGUUGUAAAGCCCUUUUGUUGGGAAAGAAAAGCAGCAGGUUAAUACCCCGCUGUUCUGACGGUACCCAAAGAAUAAGCACCGGCUAACUUCGUG
Molecule: ribosomal RNA, 492 nt
Filed under: uncultured bacterium
Lineage: Bacteria
Description: partial 16S ribosomal RNA
Rfam family: Bacterial small subunit ribosomal RNA
Source: RNAcentral